GACGAACGCUGGCGGCGUGCCUAAUACAUGCAAGUCGAACGCUUCUUUCCUCCCGAGUGCUUGCACUCAAUUGGAAAGAGGAGUGGCGGACGGGUGAGUAACACGUGGGUAACCUACCCAUCAGAGGGGGAUAACACCUGGAAACAGGAGCUAAUACCGCCUAACAGUUUAUGCCGCAUGGCAUAAGAGUUAAAGGCGCUUUCGGGGGUGGUUGAUGGAUGGACCCGCGGUGCAUUAGCUAGUUGGUGAGGUAACGGCUCACCAAGGCCACGAUGCAUAGCCGGCCUGAGAGGGUGAUCGGCCACACUGGGACUGAGACACGGCCCAGACUCCUACGGGAGGCAGCAGUAGGGAAUCUUCGGCAAUGGACGAAAGUCUGACCGAGCAACGCCGCGUGAGUGAAGAAGGUUUUCGGAUCGUAAAACUCUGUUGUUAGAGAAGAACAAGGACGUUAGUAACUGAACGUGCCCUGACGGUAUCUAACCAGAAAGCCACGGCUAACUACGUG
This 508-nucleotide ribosomal RNA is filed under the name uncultured bacterium. RNAcentral's name for it is "partial 16S ribosomal RNA". It matches the Rfam family "Bacterial small subunit ribosomal RNA", at positions 28 to 507 of the family's 1533-position model. The record is from RNAcentral.